UGACAGUGCUAACGUUUUUGGCUGGGGCUAUAGUGGAUAAAGGUGAGAAAGAAGAGGCUGGUAUUAGGGUUAGGUUGCACUCGGGCAAGCUGGCCAUGAGAGGGAUGAGGGCUGAGUGGUGUCGGAGGCAGGCUUACAGUAUGCAGAGGUGUCUCAAGUCAACUGAUGCCACAGCAUGUUGAGAUGGACAUGGACGCAAAUGAGGAAGAGAAAAGGAGAGAGGGCAAGGAAAAGAGGCACAGGAGUUGGAGGGAAUAGAGAAGAAGAA
This 268-nucleotide long non-coding RNA is filed under the name Phoenix dactylifera (date palm). Its description in RNAcentral is "long non-coding RNA (PDAC_LNC002596)". The record is from RNAcentral. Lineage: Eukaryota; Viridiplantae; Streptophyta; Magnoliopsida; Arecales; Arecaceae.